UCGACCUGAGCUCAGGCAAGGGC
This 23-nucleotide ribosomal RNA is filed under the name Trebouxia sp. P-330-Ib. RNAcentral describes it as "partial 26S ribosomal RNA". Lineage: Eukaryota; Viridiplantae; Chlorophyta; Trebouxiophyceae; Trebouxiales; Trebouxiaceae. The record is from RNAcentral.